Molecule: non-coding RNA, 144 nt
Organism: Ceratotherium simum simum (southern white rhinoceros)
Lineage: Eukaryota; Metazoa; Chordata; Mammalia; Perissodactyla; Rhinocerotidae
Source: RefSeq, a predicted model, not a curated record
CAACAUUCCAACAGUAAAUAAAGUUUUGAGAAACAAGCACAUCUCGACUUUUCAACUGAAUGUUCCCCUUAUAAAACCAACCAGUGCCAAUGAUCUUAUACCAUGAGUACUGAUAAUCCUAAAUUUCUCCUAAUAAUGAACAAA